RNAcentral lists this transfer RNA (72 nucleotides) under Cronartium ribicola 11-2. RNAcentral's name for it is "tRNA-Sup (CTA) (tRNA-Sup-CTA-53-1)". It matches the Rfam family "tRNA". From Rfam's summary of the family: Transfer RNA (tRNA) molecules are approximately 80 nucleotides in length. Their secondary structure includes four short double-helical elements and three loops (D, anti-codon, and T loops). The record is from RNAcentral. Lineage: Eukaryota; Fungi; Basidiomycota; Pucciniomycetes; Pucciniales; Coleosporiaceae.
GUGUCUGUAGCCUAGUGGUAAAAGGCAGCACUCUAGAUGCUGAGGUUAUGGGUUCAAAUCCCACCAGACACA